RNAcentral lists this transfer RNA (84 nucleotides) under Actinoplanes lobatus. RNAcentral describes it as "tRNA-Gly". Lineage: Bacteria; Bacillati; Actinomycetota; Actinomycetes; Micromonosporales; Micromonosporaceae. The record is from RNAcentral.
UGCGUCAUUCGCUGGCGGGUUUUGCGGCGCCGCAUUCCCCGCGGCUUUAUCCGCUGGCGUUUCGUUCAAACCCAAACCACGCAG